GACGAACGCUGGCGGCGUGCUUAACACAUGCAAGUCGAGCGGUAAGGCCCUUUCGGGGGUACACGAGCGGCGAACGGGUGAGUAACACGUGGGUGACCUGCCCUCAGCUCUGGGAUAAGCCUGGGAAACUGGGUCUAAUACCGGAUAUGACUUCGCAUCGCAUGGUGUGGGGUGGAAAGUUUUUCGGCUGGGGAUGGGCCCGCGGCCUAUCAGCUUGUUGGUGGGGUGAUGGCCUACCAAGGCGACGACGGGUAGCCGGCCUGAGAGGGCGACCGGCCACACUGGGACUGAGACACGGCCCAGACUCCUACGGGAGGCAGCAGUGGGGAAUAUUGCGCAAUGGGCGGAAGCCUGACGCAGCGACGCCGCGUGGGGAUGACGGCCUC
Molecule: ribosomal RNA, 386 nt
Filed under: uncultured bacterium
Lineage: Bacteria
Description: bacterial SSU rRNA
Rfam family: Bacterial small subunit ribosomal RNA
Source: RNAcentral